Molecule: long non-coding RNA, 521 nt
Filed under: Hordeum vulgare
Lineage: Eukaryota; Viridiplantae; Streptophyta; Magnoliopsida; Poales; Poaceae
Description: long non-coding RNA (HVUL_LNC006634)
Source: RNAcentral
AACAAUCUCUCAAUAGAAGGACUCACUUGUAUGGCGAACCUUACAAUGAACGGAAGCAGGCUGGUCAUGCUUAUGAUAGUUAUCCUCGCAUGUACCACGAUUCGUUCGCAGUGUAGGUGUACGGAAACAAUCAUGUGGAAUAUGGUAAAGUUUUUAUUGUAUCAAAAAUUAUUACAUAGAGUAUGAUCCCUCCUUGAAGAAUCACUAAUAGAAAGCUAGUUAGUUUCAAAAAAAAUGAAAGCUAGUUGACAUGUCGUUGUCGUUUGCAUGCAGGUCGAACAGUUGAGCAGAUGAACAGCAACAAGCUCCAAAUGUGCACAUGCUCACGGAGAAAAUCAGUUUACUGCUGUGACUUAGCAGGUGGUUGCUUUCCAACCGCAAAACAAUGUGUAAAAAGUUGUGCUCCUGGAUGCAAGUCAUCUCGUACCUUGAUAGAGCCAUGAGCAAGCACUACAUAUGCUUUAUGAUGAGAAAUUAUGUCAUGCCCAUCUUGAAAUAAAAUUACUAGAUGUGAUCCUUUU